CCUACGGCGAGCUGCAGUGAGGAAUAUUGGUCAAUGGGCGGGAGCCUGAACCAGCCAAGUCGCGUGAGGGAAGACGGUCCUACGGACUGUAAACCUCAUUUGCCGGGGAGCCACGGGGUCCUUGCGAGGGCCCGAUGAGAGUAACCGGAGAAAAAGCAUCGGCUAACUCGGUGCGAGCAGCCGCGGAAAUACGGAGGAUUCGUGCGUUAUCCGGAUCUGUUGGGUUUAAAGGGUGCGUAGGCGGGCUGUUAAGUCAGCGGUAAAAGUUCGGGGCUAAACCCCGGCCUGCCGUUGAAACUGGCGGCCUCGAGUGGGCGAGAAGUAUGCGGAAUGCGUGGUGUAGCGGUGAAAUGCAUAGAUAUCACGCAGAACUCCGAUUGCGAAGGCAGCAUACCGGCGCCCGACUGACGCUGAGGCACGAAAGCGUGGGUAUCGAACAGGAUUAGAUACCCCAGUAGUC
RNAcentral lists this ribosomal RNA (460 nucleotides) under uncultured bacterium. RNAcentral describes it as "partial 16S ribosomal RNA". It matches the Rfam family "Bacterial small subunit ribosomal RNA", at positions 338 to 795 of the family's 1533-position model. The record is from RNAcentral.